UAGCCAUUUGCGUGAUUUUUGAAUGAACUU
Molecule: non-coding RNA, 30 nt
Filed under: Rattus norvegicus (Norway rat)
Lineage: Eukaryota; Metazoa; Chordata; Mammalia; Rodentia; Muridae
Source: RNAcentral